GAUGAAGAACUCAGCGAAAUGCGAUACGUAAUGUGAAUUGCAGAAUUCAGUGAAUCAUCGAAUCUUUGAACGCAUAUUGCGCUCUCUGGUAUUCCGGAGAGCAUGCUUGUUUGAGUAUCAGUAAACACCUCAACUUCCAUAUCUUUUUUGAAAUGGGAGUUGGACUUGAGUGAUCCCAACGCUUUUCCUCACCGAAAAGUGGCGGGUUACUUGAAAUGCAGGUGCAGCUGGACUUUUCUCUGAGCUAUAAGCAUAUCUAUUUAGUCUGCCUAAAAAACAGAUUAUUACCUUUGCUGCAGCUAACAUAAAGGAGAUUAGUUCUUGUGCUGACUGAUGCAGGAUUCACAAAGACAGCUUCGGCCGACUUUGUAAACUCGAUCUCAAAUCAAGUAAGACUACCCGCUGAACUUAAGCAUAUCAAUAAGCGGAGGA
RNAcentral lists this unclassified non-coding RNA (432 nucleotides) under soil metagenome. RNAcentral describes it as "partial contains 5.8S ribosomal RNA, internal transcribed spacer 2, and large subunit ribosomal RNA". The stretch from base 1 to 120 matches the Rfam family "5.8S ribosomal RNA", at positions 35 to 154 of the family's 154-position model. The record is from RNAcentral.